ACUCCUACGGGAGGCAGCAGUGGGGAAUAUUGGACAAUGGGCGGAAGCCUGAUCCAGCAACGCCGCGUGAGGGAUGACGGCCUUCGGGUUGUAAACUCCUUUUCUAGGGGACGAGAACGGACGGUACCCCAGGAAGAAGCCUCGGCUAACUACGUGCCAGCAGCCGCGGUAAU
This 173-nucleotide ribosomal RNA is filed under the name uncultured Nocardioides sp. Its description in RNAcentral is "partial 16S ribosomal RNA". It matches the Rfam family "Bacterial small subunit ribosomal RNA", at positions 335 to 524 of the family's 1533-position model. Lineage: Bacteria; Bacillati; Actinomycetota; Actinomycetes; Propionibacteriales; Nocardioidaceae. The record is from RNAcentral.